UGGACCAGUGAUGAGACUGGAUGGUGUCUGAAUCAAAAAUUUUCAUUGAAGCUGUCCAGAAUUGUGAGGUUCAU
Molecule: small nucleolar RNA, 74 nt
Organism: Nannospalax galili (Upper Galilee mountains blind mole rat)
Lineage: Eukaryota; Metazoa; Chordata; Mammalia; Rodentia; Spalacidae
Source: Ensembl